AUGGAGAUCGAGAGGGAGGCGCCGGGCGGCGAGAGGGGGAGGAGCUGGCGAGCCGAGCAAGAUGUGCAGGAUGGUAAGAAGUUCGAAGACGGUGAUGAGACGCUCGUCAAGGAGCCGGCAUGGAAGCGAUUCCUCUCCCAUGUUGGGCCCGGGUUCAUGGUGUCCCUGGCCUAUCUAGAUCCUGGCAAUUUGGAGACGGACCUGCAAGCCGGUGCCAACCACAGAUAUGAGCUCCUCUGGGUGAUUCUGAUUGGCCUCAUCUUCGCGCUGAUCAUACAGUCACUGGCAGCGAACCUUGGCGUGGUUACAGGAAAGCAUCUUGCCGAGAUAUGCAAGAGCGAGUAUCCGAAGCCGGUGAUGAUCUGCCUCUGGCUUCUUGCGGAGGUGGCGGUGAUCGCCGCCGAUAUCCCGGAAGUGAUCGGGACGGCCUUCGCUUUCUACCUCUUGUUCCGCAUCCCUGUGUGGAUCGGGGUUCUCAUCACCGGCUCCAGCACGCUCCUCCUCCUCGGCCUUCAAAGAUACGGGGUGCGGAAGCUGGAGUUUCUCAUCUCCAUGCUGGUCUUCGUCAUGGCGGCGUGCUUCUUCGGGGAGCUGAGCAUAGUGAAGCCUCCGGCGAAGGAGGUCCUCAAGGGGCUGUUCAUUCCCAAGCUCAAGGGGAAUGGCGCCACCGGAGACGCCAUUGCCCUCCUUGGAGCACUAGUCAUGCCUCACAACUUGUUCUUGCAUUCGGCGUUGGUGCUGUCCAGGAAGACGCCGUCAUCAGUAAGAGGAAUCAAGGAUGCUUGCAGGUUCUUCCUGUAUGAGAGCGGCUUCGCGCUGUUUGUGGCGCUGCUCAUCAACAUAGCCGUCAUCUCCGUCUCCGGGACGGUCUGCUUCGGGGAGAACCUCUCGGCGGAGGACAUCGACAAAUGCAGUGACCUCAGUCUGGACAACUCCUCAUUUCUGCUCAAGAACGUGCUGGGAAGAUCAAGUUCAAUCGUGUACGGGGUGGCGCUGUUAGCGUCAGGGCAAAGCUCGACCAUUACCGGCACAUAUGCCGGCCAGUACAUCAUGCAGGGGUUCUUGGACAUCAAGAUGAAGACGUGGCUGAGGAACCUGAUGACACGCUGCAUCGCCAUUGCGCCCAGCCUAGUCGUCUCCAUCAUCGGCGGGUCGAAUGGCGCCGGCCGUCUCAUCAUCAUCGCGUCGAUGAUACUGUCGUUUGAGCUGCCGUUUGCACUCAUCCCGCUUCUCAAGUUCAGCAGCAGCAGCAGCAAGAUGGGCCCGCACAAGAACUCCAUCUACAUCAUCGUGUUCUCGUGGACGCUUGGGCUGAUGCUCAUCGGCAUCAACGUCUACUUCCUCAGCACCAGCUUCAUGGGGUGGCUCAUCCACAGCUCGCUGCCCACGUACGCCAAGGUGCUCGUCGGAGUUGUCGUGUGCCCGCUGAUGAUCGUGUACCUCAUCGCUGUCGUCUACCUCACCUUCAGGAAGGACACCGUCGUCACCUUCGUCGCCGACUCGUGCAAGGCCGACGCCGAGAAGGCGGCGGGCGGCAGCGGGGAGGACGACGACGAGCCCGUGCCCUACCGUGAGGACCUGGCAGACAUACCGCUCCCGGCCCACAGCAGAGGCUAG
This 1617-nucleotide ribosomal RNA is filed under the name Triticum aestivum (bread wheat). RNAcentral describes it as "partial small subunit ribosomal RNA". The record is from RNAcentral. Lineage: Eukaryota; Viridiplantae; Streptophyta; Magnoliopsida; Poales; Poaceae.